This 157-nucleotide ribosomal RNA is filed under the name uncultured Basidiomycota. RNAcentral describes it as "5.8S ribosomal RNA". It matches the Rfam family "5.8S ribosomal RNA". From Rfam's summary of the family: 5.8S ribosomal RNA (5.8S rRNA) is a component of the large subunit of the eukaryotic ribosome. It is transcribed by RNA polymerase I as part of the 45S precursor that also contains 18S and 28S rRNA. Functionally, it is thought that 5.8S rRNA may be involved in ribosome translocation. The record is from RNAcentral. Lineage: Eukaryota; Fungi; Basidiomycota.
ACAACUUUCAGCAACGGAUCUCUUGGCUCUCGCAUCGAUGAAGGACGCAGCGAAAUGCGAUAAGUAAUGUGAAUUGCAGAAUUCAGUGAAUCAUCGAAUCUUUGAACGCACCUUGCGCUCCUUGGUAUUCCGAGGAGCAUGCCUGUUUGAGUGUCAU